UCAUUUUACACCCAUCAUCCACAUUUCUAGACCUUUUGAGGGAAUUUACAAAUCAGUCUCUGAGUUUCAUUGAAUCUGCUUGAAGACAAGAAAGAAGAAUGCAUAAAGGGGGAACUGGGAAGGAAGGAAGCAAUGUUGAGAGGAUGAAGAGAAAAGGGCAUACAGUACCAAAUUAAAACUGAGUACAACAUGCAAUGGUAUCUAGCGCCAUGUAUGUAUCACAACAUUCCUGUGAGCAGGAGAUGGAGAGCCAUGGUCCAGCUGAAACUAUCAUCUGAAGGAAUCCAGAUGUAAAGCCCAUGAGGAAUGAAGCUCAGGACUACCUAACCAAGUGAAGGUGGGGAGAAGAAAAAGAGAUGCUUCCAGAAACCUCGAACAAUUCUUAAUCACUGCAGAAAUAUGUUAUGUCUUAUAUUUAAGAAAGUACUUCUGCCUGGCCUGUUAAAUACAUGUAUUUCGUCCAUUGAUUAUAAAACAGAACAUCACAGUGCCAGAAGAUACCCUUUGUUCCAAGUUGGAAUCACAUUGCUAAGCCAGUCACAUGUUUUCAUUGGCUUAAAUACAUUCUCAGUGCUUUAUGAACUAUGCAUUUUUCCACAAUGCAAUAUUUUCCCAGCUGACCUUUGGAAAAGCAUAGCUUCAGUACAGACUCAACUAUUCCAUGAUUACAGAGGUGUUUUCACAAGGGAAAUAGAAAUAUGAAGCCAUAUUAUCAACAAUUUUGUCAUUUAGAGACGUUAGCAAGAAGCUAAAUUUUUCCAGUGCU
Pogona vitticeps (central bearded dragon) is the source of this 766-nucleotide non-coding RNA. The record is from RefSeq and is a predicted model, not a curated record. Lineage: Eukaryota; Metazoa; Chordata; Lepidosauria; Squamata; Agamidae.